GUGGGGAACCUGCCGUAUACAGGGGGAUAACACAUAGAAAUAGGUGCUAAUACCGCAUAAGCGCACGCCUUCGCAUGAAGGAGUGUGAAAAGGCGAAAGCCGGUAUACGAUGGCCCCGCGUCUGAUUAGCCAGUUGGCAGGGCAGCGGCCUACCAAAGCGACGAUCAGUAGCCGGCCUGAGAGGGCGGACGGCCACAUUGGGACUGAGACACGGCCCAGACUCCUGCGGGAGGCAGCAGUGGGGAAUAUUGCACAAUGGGGGGAACCCUGAUGCAGCGACGCCGCGUGAGUGAAGAAGUAUUUCGGUAUGUAAAGCUCUAUCAGCAGGGAAGAAAAUGACGGUACCUGAAUAAGAAGCCCCGGCUAACUACGUGCCAGCAGCCGCGGUAAUACGUAGGGGGCAAGCGUUAUCCGGAUUUACUGGGUGUAAAGGGAGCGUAGACGGUUAUGCAAGUCUGGAGUGAAAGCCCGGGGCUCAACCCCGGGACUGCUUUGGAAACUGUAAAACUGGAGUGCAGGAGAGGCAGGCGGAAUUCCUAGUGUAGCGGUGAAAUGCGUAGAUAUUAGGAGGAACACCAGUGGCGAAGGCGGCCUGCUGGACUGUAACUGACGUUGAGGCUCGAAGGCGUGGGGAGCAAACAGGAUUAGAUACCCUGGUAGUCCACGCGGUAAACGAUGAUCACUAGGUGUCGGAGGGUAGAGACCCUUCGGUGCCGCCGCAAACGCAGUAAGUGAUCCACCUGGGGAGUACGUUCGCAAGAAUGAAACU
Molecule: ribosomal RNA, 769 nt
Filed under: uncultured bacterium
Lineage: Bacteria
Description: bacterial SSU rRNA
Rfam family: Bacterial small subunit ribosomal RNA
Source: RNAcentral